AUACGAUAGGAAGCUUUGAAACCAAUCUGUAUUUGGGCGCUUAUGGUUGGUCGAGCUAGUAGCGCAACCGGCCGCAUUGAUU
RNAcentral lists this non-coding RNA (82 nucleotides) under Pontibacillus chungwhensis. Its description in RNAcentral is "c-di-GMP-II sequence". It matches the Rfam family "Cyclic di-GMP-II riboswitch aptamer". The record is from RNAcentral. Lineage: Bacteria; Bacillati; Bacillota; Bacilli; Caryophanales; Bacillaceae. RNAcentral also lists the same sequence under 1 other name.